RNAcentral lists this ribosomal RNA (497 nucleotides) under uncultured bacterium. RNAcentral describes it as "partial 16S ribosomal RNA". It matches the Rfam family "Bacterial small subunit ribosomal RNA", at positions 28 to 507 of the family's 1533-position model. The record is from RNAcentral.
GACGAACGCUGGCGGCGUGCCUAAUACAUGCAAGUUGAGCGAUGAAGAUUGGUGCUUGCACCAAUUUGAAGAGCAGCGAACGGGUGAGUAACGCGUGGGGAAUCUGCCUUUGAGCGGGGGACAACAUUUGGAAACGAAUGCUAAUACCGCAUAACAACUUUAAACAUAAGUUUUAAGUUUGAAAGAUGCAAUUGCAUCACUCAAAGAUGAACCCGCGUUGUAUUAGCUAGUUGGUGAGGUAAAGGCUCACCAAGGCGAUGAUACAUAGCCGACCUGAGAGGGGGAUCGGCCACAUUGGGACUGAGACAAGGCCCAAACUCCUACGGGAGGCAGCAGUAGGGAAUCUUCGGCAAUGGACGAAAGUCUGACCGAGCAACGCCGCGUGAGUGAAGAAGGUUUUCGGAUCGUAAAACUCGGUUGGUAGAGAAGAACGUUGGUGAGAGUGGAAAGCUCAUCAAGUGACGGUAACUACCCAGAAAGGGACGGCUAACUACGUG